CAUGCAGUCGAACGGACCCUUCGGGGUUAGUGGCGGACGGGUGAGUAACACGUGGGAACGUGCCUUUAGGUUCGGAAUAGCUCCUGGAAACGGGUGGUAAUGCCGAAUGUGCCCUUCGGGGGAAAGAUUUAUCGCCUUUAGAGCGGCCCGCGUCUGAUUAGCUAGUUGGUGAGGUAACGGCUCACCAAGGCGACGAUCAGUAGCUGGUCUGAGAGGAUGACCAGCCACACUGGGACUGAGACACGGCCCAGACUCCUACGGGAGGCAGCAGUGGGGAAUCUUGCGCAAUGGGCGAAAGCCUGACGCAGCCAUGCCGCGUGAAUGAUGAAGGUCUUAGGAUUGUAAAAUUCUUUCACCGGGGACGAUAAUGACGGUACCCGGAGAAGAAGCCCCGGCUAACUUCGUGCCAGCAGCCGCGGUAAUACGAAGGGGGCUAGCGUUGCUCGGAAUUACUGGGCGUAAAGGGCGCGUAGGCGGAUCGUUAAGUCAGAGGUGAAAUCCCAGGGCUCAACCCUGGAACUGCCUUUGAUACUGGCGAUCUUGAGUAUGAGAGAGGUAUGUGGAACUCCGAGUGUAGAGGUGAAAUUCGUAGAUAUUCGGAAGAACACCAGUGGCGAAGGCGACAUACUGGCUCAUUACUGACGCUGAGGCGCGAAAGCGUGGG
This 664-nucleotide ribosomal RNA is filed under the name Brevundimonas diminuta. Its description in RNAcentral is "bacterial SSU rRNA". It matches the Rfam family "Bacterial small subunit ribosomal RNA", at positions 54 to 765 of the family's 1533-position model. Lineage: Bacteria; Pseudomonadati; Pseudomonadota; Alphaproteobacteria; Caulobacterales; Caulobacteraceae. The record is from RNAcentral.